Molecule: long non-coding RNA, 7788 nt
Filed under: Triticum aestivum (bread wheat)
Lineage: Eukaryota; Viridiplantae; Streptophyta; Magnoliopsida; Poales; Poaceae
Description: long non-coding RNA (TAES_LNC010531)
Source: RNAcentral
AACGGAGGAAAUGGCCAUGCACAGCACACCACACCGCAGUGCACCUACCUAGGGUCGGUCCUCUACCUACCAACCCCCCCACUUUAACGCUAAUCUCCAACAGAAAAAAGGCCAAAGGCGACGGAGGCUGGACUCACUGGACUGGAAGCCACCCGGCCGGCCUCCUCCUCCUCCUCCUCAGUAGCCCUCACUCUCCCACACUGCUCACUGGUUGGUCGACGAUGAUAAAAACCUCCACACGAUAGGAAUCUCAAGCCAUCCUCCUCCUCCUCCUCCUCCCGGCAGUUUCCUCCACGGCUCCACCACCCCGAGCCCAAGCCAACCGAGCAAAGCGCACGCCAAAGCGAGGGGCUUUGCCUCGAAUCCUGGGCGAGCCGAGCCACGAGCCCCACCACCACUGCUUUCGCCUUUCCGUUCAUUCCAAGAACCGGCGUACGUACAUGGAGCCGGCGGCGGCGGACGGGGCCUCGGACGAGCCGGUGCACAAGGGGCGGACCAACUCCAUCCUGCUCCCCAUCCUCGCCGUGCUCCUCGCCUACCUGCUCUACCGCUACCUCCGCCCGCGCCUCCGCGGCCUGCGCCUCGACCGCCUCCCGUUCCGCGUCCCGGACUGCCUCCGCCGCCGCGGCAAUGCCACCCGGACCACCCUGCUGCCCUACUUCGCGCCCAUCGCCGACCGCCUCGGCGCGCUGCAGCCCUACCUCGGCCCCAUCGCCGACCGCCUCGGGGUCGGCGGCCCGCACGGCCACGGCGGCGGGUACGGCGGCGCCGACGCGCUCGUCAGGUUCCCCGGCGGCGAGGGCCUGUCGGUGGCCGCCAUCCUCGAGGCGCCUGGGGAGGUGGUGGCCAAGUCGUCGCACAGCACGCUCUACCGCGCCGCCAUGCGCUCCGGGGAGACGGCCGUGCUGCUCCGGUUCGUGCGGCCCGCGUGCGCCGUGGGCGCCGACGAGGCCGCCGCCGCCGCGCGCCGGAUCGGCGCCGUCAGCCACCCGAACCUCGUGCCGCUCCGCGCCGUGUACGUCGGGCCCAGGGGCGAGAAGCUGCUCGUGCACCCUUCUACGCCGCCGGCUCGCUCCACCGAUUCUUGCAAGGUCAGUGCAUGCGCAUCACUCACUCUUGCUUUGGUCGACAUGUUCAUCCUGAUUCGUACAAAUGCACAAUUUUGCUACGUCAAAAGUGCACAUGAGCCCACACCGCAAAUGAAACUUUUUCUUAAUUCUAUUUGUUGCGACGAGAUCACACAUGAAACAUUAUGCAAUUACAUUUCGUCACAAAGGGAAAAGCAUGGCGUGGUUGCGAAGCGAGUUCGAAGACUCCAAAAAGGCAGAUCAGCAGCUUUCACUAAACAAAAAUCAUUUGGGCCAUCAGUUUCAACUUUCUUUUUCGAUAAUCAGUAUCAACUUUUGAGGCAAUGUGGAAUGUGUUACACAGUUUGGUUAUGGUACAGAGUCCAUUUCUUAUUUCCAGUUCAUGUUCGCUGGUUCUUAUUAUUAUUGCCUACUGCGGCCAGGCAGGAAACAUUUCUCUGCUUUGGUUGUUAGCCUGAGACCUCACAUGACACUGUCCUGAAGCAAUGGUCCUGGCCAUUAAUGUUACAUAAGGUCAUUAGAUCACCCUUCACAAUCGUGAUCAUUGGGGCACACAAUCAGUCCAGUGUGUUGCUCAGUUAAAACAGUGGUUAGUGCUGUAUAGUCGUCUGUCAAACAGUAGUGAACAUAGUCAUUGUUGUGCCUUAAUUGAAGGCACAUGCACACAUGUGCAGUCUUUUCAAGCCAAAACCAUGCAUUCAUAAUAUUGGCAUUUGUUGUGAUGGUAGCUGAUGAUAGUCUGCCUGUGUGCUGCCAUUUUCACAGAGGGGAUCGCCGACUCGCAGAGAUGGAGCCUGAUCUGCAAGCUCUCCGUGUGCAUCGCCAAGGGGCUCGACCACCUGCACACGGGGAUGGAGAAGCCGAUCAUCCACGGCAACCUCAAGACGAGCAACAUCCUCCUCGACGCCAGCUACGAGUGCAGGAUCUCGGACUACGGCCUCUACCUCCUGCUCAACACCGGCGGCGCCCACGAGAUGCUGGAGGCGUCGGCGGCGCAGGGGUACAAGGCGCCGGAGCUGGUCAAGAUGAGGGACGCCACCAGGGAGAGCGACGUGUACAGCCUGGGCGUGGUGCUGCUGGAGAUGCUCGCGCAGAAGGAGCCCGCCGGCGACGACGACCGCGCGCCCAGCUCCCGCGACAUCUUCCUGCCGGCGUCGUUCAAGAACCUGGUGCUCGAGAGGAAGAUCUCCGACGCCUUCAGCUCCGACCUCGUCAGGCAGAGCAGGAAGUCGGGGAACGAGAAGAAGCUGAACGCGUUCUUCGAGCUGGCCACGGCGUGCUGCAGCCCUUCGCCGUCGCUCCGGCCCAACACCAAGGAGAUACUCAGAAGGCUUGAGGAGAUAGCAAAAUAAUUAACUAAAUGUGGGUAGGUUCACCAUUCAGACGUAGCACGAGGCAAGGCUCAAGGAACGACUGAACCUCUGCUGGACGGAAAAUUGGAGAAUGGAGGCACACGGUUCAGAUAUCAUGGAAUGUGUAUAGUCAGAGUGUAAGCGCGGUGGAGGCCAUCGUCUCAAGAAUAUACUCAUUGUACGUAAUUUAUUUUCUUGUGCUUUGCUUGAAACCGACCAUGUACAAAGUGUUGAAAGAGUGGGGACGGCGUAUGCUGCAUGUUCAUGCAUCAAAAUCGCCAUGUCGAUGUAACCUUGGUCUGAUCUGAGUGUUAUAUCAGAUAUGAUUGGUAGGAGCAUUUGCUGUGCAGCUUGUGAUGUUCCCGGUGCAUGUGCGGUUGUUCUACUUGUACGCACUGACAAGGGCCGGCAGGGAGUGAUUCUCUCCAAGGGAAUUAUGCCCAGCGUUGCCUGAUUUCGGUCUCUGCACAGUCAUGCUGUCCUUAACAGUGGCUAGAUUCCGAAAUAGUAAGAAAUUAAGAUUCGGAACUUUUGGUUGUAGCUAGAUUGCUCAGCGGCAUGGCCUCAAAAACAGGUCACCAUCCACCACCUUCUCUUUCGCCGACACCAAAAGCGUAGCGUCCGUAACACACGGGCCUACAGUCUGCUGAUUUAUUUCGUAACCUGCAAAUGAAUCGCCUAUUCACUAUCCCACGUCAACAAAUGAUCAUCCUGUGCUAGCUUAAGCUUACCAAACGAUCUUCGGCUUGACGCCAGAAAAACUUACUGAUCAUCUCGAGUCUCCUUGUCCCUGAAUUAUCGUAAUGAGACGGAACAUGAAAGGCAUGUGUCAUGGCCUCCGCUGGCCGAGUGAUUAUCAGGUGGGUGAGGCCUUGGUUUGUGCCACCGGUUAGCCGCGGCGUCUCUCUCGCAGCGCAGGGAAAGCGGCAGCACGUGAAGCGCCAACGAACCCACCGAGAAAACUUGGAGCAAGCCUCCAAGCCUCCAAGCCGGGACCGCCUCUCGUCGUCCUCCAACUCCGCGGCCCCCUAAUGGUAGAUCUUGUGGGCACGUACAUACGUCCGUAGGCCGUAGCGUAGAUCAAAUGCCCCUGCGCGCGCUCAGGCCGGCCGGCCGGUCCGGUCCGGUGCACGGACGCCUGCGCUCGCCGUGCCGUAUCAUCAAUUUGCUAAUGCACAUGUCCCUUGGUCACAAAUCUUACGAUGUGUACUGUCGACGCGUUUUUACUGCCUCUGGCCCGUUGCCGACGCCGACGCCGAUGCCAUGGCCGUGCGCCGUGGUCCUCGCCCGUCCAUUCGCGGCUACUACAGUUGUGCGCGCCGUCCGUCGUGUAGCGUCUUGUGGGCAUGCGGCGUGCACCGUGUUUAACUUGGUAAGCUAAGCCGCACACGGCGAAGUGUUCGGGUCGGUGGGAGGCGGGUCACCGUACCUACCUAUGCGUCGACAUGUACCCGGUGUACGUACGUGCCGGGCCGCGACGGCGAUGGCUGGGGAGAGGAGAUGGUGGUGGAUUGGUGGUGGCGGUGGUUGCGCGUGGCUGGCGCGGCGGAGUAGGAGUGGUAGGGCGUCGGGGCGGUACCACGCGGAUUGGGUGCGCGUGCACGGCGCCGAGCGCAGGGGGCUGCGUGGCCGGAUGAUAGAUGCGUCGCACGCAGGCGCAGGCAUGUGGGCGUCAUGUGGUAGGGAGUUGGCUGUGGGUGCUACUACUGGGUGAGAUAAGGCUCUGAUAAGAUGUGAUUUGGCUACUGCCGCUCGCGAUUCGCUGCUGCGCUGUCUACUCAUUGCGAGAGUUGGUGCUUGUCACUGAAUGUGAAUGGUACCGUACCGGAGUUAAAUCAAGUGAAAGCAGCAAGUACCACUGCCGGUGCCGGGGUUUAUUUAUGUUGGGUUGCACUGCGGCGCUGCAAUCAUCGCUCUUCCGUGCGGCUUCAUUCGUUCCUUUGCUGGGGCCGGGGGAAACGGGUUGGCCUUGGCCGUCGCCGGCCGAAUGCAAUAUGGCAUCGCGACCCAAAGCUUUUGCUGCGGUAUUGCCGACUUGCAAGUUAAGUUUUUUUUUUUAAUGAACGAGCAAGCUCGGUUGAGAUCCUUGCCUUUUCAACCUUGAACAGCGGUAUUUGUUUUGAUAGAGUAUUUUUCAUUAAUUCAUAUUGAAACACAAGCAGAUGUACAAAAUACAACGAGCACACAGCCAGCCACUACACGACUAGGAUGCACACAACCAAUACACACACAAAGAUAUUCAUCACAAGAUCAAAACUAUGCCUAGGUCAAAUGGAAAAGAAAGAGAAAAGAAAAGGAGAAAGGACUUCGCCGAAGCAGUAGAAACAACCAUUGAUGUGGCAUGCCCUACUGCAAACAUGACUAGUACACAAGUCAUGGUGAGUACGUCGGUCAAUGACAAGCGGUUGCAGGCAACUUCGGCAGUCGUCGACAAAGGGGUGCGAACGGAGGAUAUUACGAAUGAGGCAGCGACAAUGCAUGUGGACGAGGCGGAUGUCGGAAAGAAAGUUGUUGAUGUGAGUUGUAAUUAUGUAAGGACAUGAGGAUUAUAUUGUAAAAGAACAAAAAUCUAAAUGAAGGGAGGUGAGAAGGGGAUCGGUAGAAGACCCCAGAUUUUUCCCCAAUGUCUCCUCUCCUUCAUGAACCCUAGUUCACAAAUCCAUGAGUGACAAGAUGGUAUCAGGGCGGGACGAAUCCUGUGUGGUUCUCCUGUGAUUUCGAUUGAUUUUGGUCGUCGGUGCGGUGCGGUGCUGUGUCGCUCCUAUUGUUGGAGGUGCUUCUGCUGCUGGCUUUGUUGUAGGUGUCGGGAAGCGACCUCGAUUCUGCCUGAAUCAAGUACAACCGGGGAGGCUCCUGCAGCUACCAGUUGAAUUGAAUAGAGCCUGGGCGUCUAGACUCCCUCCCCCGCUACAAGCUAAUUUUUUCUCUCCUGCCAUCCGGCGCCGUGAGCAGGUCUAGUUCGUCCCCAACUUGACUCUCGGACUCCUUGAGCUUCUGUGUUUUUUAUUGCUUUAGAAGAAGAAUCAGUGUUGCCUGGAGCUGCUUUGGUGGUCAGCUGGCCGGAUUAAAUAAUACUAUUUGCUAGUGUUGCAAUCCGAAGUAAUUGCCGUACUCUUUGGCACAUUGUUGAGCCGUACUAGUUGGUUCCUCUUUGUGCUGCACGUAUUUGAUAAGAAGAACCAAGUACUAGUGUUGGAAUAUAUUCUUGCUCACUGAACCAUGGGAGAUCCAAGUACAGAAAAACAGGGGAUUCUAGUGUUGAUAAGAUGUAUGAAAUAUUUAGCAAACUGCUUAAGCACCAGCAGGCUGCUGAGCCAGUUAAGCAUACACUUGAGCCAAAUCCAGUCAAACUAUCAGGACCUGGUGACUACAUCAGUUGGGCACGCCAUGCCAAAUUGAUUUUGAGCGCCAAUGAGUAUGAUUAUUUACUUGUUGGGAGUGAAGAAAGUUUGGAGAAAGGCGGUGCGGGCAGGAAACAAAUCAAUGAUAAAGUACUAGUAUGGCUGUUGGAAAGUAUGGAACCAAAAAUAAGAGAACAAGUGGAAGGCAUGGACACUGUUUGUGAGGUCCGGUCAUCUUUGAAGAAACAAUUUGCAGGGAAAACAAAUAAAAUGCAAGCCACCCAUAUCAUGCAUGAGUUAACUAAUUUGAAGCAGCGCUCAAGAUCUGUAACAGAGUAUCCAGGUGAAGUAAAAAAAUUAUAUAGAAACUUACAUUAUCAUCACCCUUUUGAACCUGUUGACAAGGAUGACUUGGCAAUUCAUCAUGUGUGGUUUGAGUCGUUUGUGAGCAAGCUCUUUCUUGAUGGCCUAGACCAGGAACUAAACCUCCGUCGUCAAUUGAUAUUUGGAAUGCCUGAGUGGCCUAGUCUUGAUGAUAUUAUUUCUAGCAUGAUUGAGGAGGAGACUCGUUUGGCACAACCGAAGGAGGAUGGUCAGGAGCGUGCAGAUGCUCGUGCUGCAUUAUCCAUACAACCUCGCCGUGCUACAAAUUCCUUUGGUAAGGUGGAUAAAAGCAAAUUGCUUUGUGACCAUUGCAAGAGAAAAGGACACACCAAGGAUGAGUGUUUUGAGUUGCAUGGUUAUCCACCUUGGUGGGAUAAAGGGAGAUCUCAGCUAGGGGGAGCUCGGGGUUCAAACAAAAGACAAGCUAAUUACAAUGCAUCUGCAAGGGAACUACAUGUGGUAGAUAUGCAAGCUCUUGAGGAUUUCAAAUCCAAGCUCAAAUUCUCUGAAGGCUCAUCUUCGUCCCAAGGUUCCUCCAAAGUUGAUUCUAGCUUUAAUGCCAUCACCCAAGGUAUGGAAUCCCACCAAGCCCAGUCAAAACCAUGGAUAAUUGAUACUGGAGCUACUAACCACAUGACAGGUGCCUCAAACUUGUUUACUUCAGGCACCUUCCAGUCCAGGCCAGCCAGGGUCCCGGCGACCCUCCUACUCCUACUCCUACCCCUCCCAACUGCCGCUGCCACUGUGCUCACCGAUUCUCAACGGAGGAAAUGGCCAUGCACAGCACACCACACCGCAGUGCACCUACCUAGGGUCGGUCCUCUACCUACCAACCCCCCCACUUUAACGCUAAUCUCCAACAGAAAAAAGGCCAANNNNNNNNNNNNNNNNNNNNNNNNNNNNNNNNNNNNNNNNNNNNNNNNNNNNNNNNNNNNNNNNNNNNNNNNNNNNNNNNNNNNNNNNNNNNNNNNNNNNCGAUUCUCAACGGAGGAAAUGGCCAUGCACAGCACACCACACCGCAGUGCACCUACCUAGGGUCGGUCCUCUACCUACCAACCCCCCCACUUUAACGCUAAUCUCCAACAGAAAAAAGGCCAAAGGCGACGGAGGCUGGACUCACUGGACUGGAAGCCACCCGGCCGGCCUCCUCCUCCUCCUCCUCAGUAGCCCUCACUCUCCCACACUGCUCACUGGUUGGUCGACGAUGAUAAAAACCUCCACACGAUAGGAAUCUCAAGCCAUCCUCCUCCUCCUCCUCCUCCCGGCAGUUUCCUCCACGGCUCCACCACCCCGAGCCCAAGCCAACCGAGCAAAGCGCACGCCAAAGCGAGGGGCUUUGCCUCGAAUCCUGGGCGAGCCGAGCCACGAGCCCCACCACCACUGCUUUCGCCUUUCCGUUCAUUCCAAGAACCGGCGUACGUACAUGGAGCCGGCGGCGGCGGACGGGGCCUCGGACGAGCCGGUGCACAAGGGGCGGACCAACUCCAUCCUGCUCCCCAUCCUCGCCGUGCUCCUCGCCUACCUGCUCUACCGCUACCUCCGCCCGCGCCUCCGCGGCCUGCGCCUCGACCGCCUCCCGUUCCGCGUCCCGGACUGCCUCCGCCGCCGCGGCAAUGCCACCCG